AUAGCCUCAGUAACGGCGAGUGAAGCGGCUACAGCUCAAAUUUGAAAUCUGGCCUCCUUUGGGGGUCCGAGUUGUAAUUUGCAGAGGAUGCUUUGGCAUUGGCGGCGGUCUAAGUUCCUUGGAACAGGACAUCGCAGAGGGUGAGAAUCCCGUACGUGGGCGCCUGCCUUUGCCGUGUAAAGCUCCUUCGACGAGUCGAGUUGUUUGGGAAUGCAGCUCUAAAUGGGAGGUAAAUUUCUCCUAAAGCUAAAUACCGGCCAGAGACCGAUAGCGCACAAGUAGAGUGAUCGAAAGAUGAAAAGUACUUUGGAAAGAGAGUCAAAUAGCACGUGAAAUUGUUGAAAGGGAAGCGCUUGCAGCCAGACUUGCCCGCAGUUGCUCACCUAGGCUUUUGCCUGGGGCACUCUUCUGCGGGCAGGCCAGCAUCAGUUUGGGCGGUCGGAUAAAGGUCUCUGUCAUGUACCACCCUUCGGGGUGGCCUUAUAGGGGAGGCGCAAUGCGACCAGCCCGGACUGAGGUCCGCGCAUCUGCUAGGAUGCUGGCGUAAUGGCUGUAAGCGGCCCGUCUUGAAACACGGACCAAGGAGUCUAACAUCUAUGCGAGUGUUUGGGUGUCAAGCCCGGGCGCGUAAUGAAAGUGAACGGAGGUGGGAACCUUUCGGGGUGCACCAUCGACCGAUCCUGAUGUCUUCGGAUGGAUUUGAGUAAGAGCAUAGCUGUUGGGACCCGAAAGAUGGUGAACUAUGCUUGAAUAGGGUGAAGCCAGAGGAAACUCUGGUGGAGGCUCGCAGCGGUUCUGACGUGCAAAUCGAUCGUCAAAUUUGGGCAUAGGGGCGAAAGACUAAUCGAACCAU
RNAcentral lists this ribosomal RNA (853 nucleotides) under Pseudopithomyces mori. Its description in RNAcentral is "partial large subunit ribosomal RNA". It matches the Rfam family "Eukaryotic large subunit ribosomal RNA", at positions 74 to 943 of the family's 3401-position model. The record is from RNAcentral. Lineage: Eukaryota; Fungi; Ascomycota; Dothideomycetes; Pleosporales; Didymosphaeriaceae.